Molecule: ribosomal RNA, 1355 nt
Filed under: uncultured bacterium
Lineage: Bacteria
Description: bacterial SSU rRNA
Rfam family: Bacterial small subunit ribosomal RNA
Source: RNAcentral
CUAGCUACAGGCUUCACACAUGCAAGUUCGAGGGGCAGCACGGUCUUAGCUUCGCUAAUGCCGACGGCGAACCGGCGUACGGGUUGAGUAACACGUAUCCAACCUGCCGUCUACUCUUGGACAGCCUUCUGAAAGGAAGAUUAAUACAAGAUGGCAUCAUGAGUCCGCAUGUUCACAUGAUUAAAGGUAUUCCGGUAGACGAUGGGGAUGCGUUCCAUUAGAUAGUAGGCGGGGUAACGGCCCACCUAGUCUUCGAUGGAUAGGGGUUCUGAGAGGAAGGUCCCCCACAUUGGAACUGAGACGCGGUCCAAACUCCUACGGGAGGCAGCAGUGAGGAAUAUUGGUCAAUGGGCGAGAGCCUGAACCAGCCAAGUAGCGUGAGGGAUGACUGCCCUAUGGGUUGUAAACUUCUUUUAUAAAGGAAUAAAGUCGGGUAUGGAUACCCGUUUGCAUGUACUUUAUGAAUAAGGAUCGGCUAACUCCGUGCCCAGCAGCCGCGGUAAUACGGAGGAUCCGAGCGUUAUCCGGAUUUAUUGGGUUUAAAGGGAGCGUAGAUGGAUGUUUAAGUCAGUUGUGAAAGUUUGCGGCUCAACCGUAAAAUUGCAGUUGAUACUGGAUAUCUUGAGUGCAGUUGAGGCAGGCGGAAUUCGUGGUGUAGCGGUGAAAUGCUUAGAUAUCACGAAGAACUCCGAUUGCGAAGGCAGCCUGCUAAGCUGCAACUGACAUUGAGGCUCGAAAGUGUGGGUAUCAAACAGGAUUAGAUACCCUGGUAGUCCACACGGUAAACGAUGAAUACUCGCUGUUUGCGAUAUACUGCAAGCGGCCAAGCGAAAGCGUUAAGUAUUCCACCUGGGGAGUACGCCGGCAACGGUGAAACUCAAAGGAAUUGACGGGGGCCCGCGCAAGCGGAGGAACAUGUGGUUUAAUUCGAUGAUACGCGAGGAACCUUACCCGGGCUUAAAUUGCAGAUGAAUUACGGUGAAAGCCGUAAGCCGCAAGGCAUCUGUGAAGGUGCUGCAUGGUUGUCGUCAGCUCGUGCCGUGAGGUGUCGGCUUAAGUGCCAUAACGAGCGCAACCCUUGUUGUCAGUUACUAACAGGUUCCGCUGAGGACUCUGACAAGACUGCCAUCGUAAGAUGUGAGGAAGGUGGGGAUGACGUCAAAUCAGCACGGCCCUUACGUCCGGGGCUACACACGUGUUACAAUGGGGGGUACAGAGGGCCGCAACCACGCGAGUGGAUGCCAAUCCCCAAAACCUCUCUCAGUUCGGACUGGAGUCUGCGACCCGACUCCACGAAGCUGGAUUCGCUAGUAAUCGCGCUUCAGCCUCGGCGCGGUGAAUACGUUCCCGGGCCU